This 492-nucleotide ribosomal RNA is filed under the name uncultured bacterium. RNAcentral describes it as "partial 16S ribosomal RNA". It matches the Rfam family "Bacterial small subunit ribosomal RNA", at positions 29 to 507 of the family's 1533-position model. The record is from RNAcentral.
AGUGAACGCUGGCGGUAGGCCUAACACAUGCCAGUCGAACGGCAGCACGGUAAGAGCUUGCUCUUACGGGUGGCGAGUGGCGGACGGGUGAGGAAUACAUCGGAAUCUACUUUUUCGUGGGGGAUAACGUAGGGAAACUUACGCUAAUACCGCAUACGACCUACGGGUGAAAGCAGGGGAUCUUCGGACCUUGCGCGAUUGAAUGAGCCGAUGUCGGAUUAGCUAGUUGGCGGGGUAAAGGCCCACCAAGGCGACGAUCCGUAGCUGGUCUGAGAGGAUGAUCAGCCACACUGGAACUGAGACACGGUCCAGACUCCUACGGGAGGCAGCAGUGGGGAAUAUUGGACAAUGGGCGCAAGCCUGAUCCAGCCAUACCGCGUGGGUGAAGAAGGCCUACGGGUUGUAAAGCCCUUUUGUUGGGAAAGAAAAGCAGCAGGUUAAUACCCCGCUGUUCUGACGGUACCCAAAGAAUAAGCACCGGCUAACUUCGUG